Molecule: ribosomal RNA, 675 nt
Filed under: Salmonella enterica
Lineage: Bacteria; Pseudomonadati; Pseudomonadota; Gammaproteobacteria; Enterobacterales; Enterobacteriaceae
Description: bacterial LSU rRNA
Rfam family: Bacterial large subunit ribosomal RNA
Source: RNAcentral
GCCUUGAUGUGUAGGAUAGGUGGGAGGCUUUGAAGUGUGGACGCCAGUCUGCAUGGAGCCGGCCUUGAAAUACCACCCUUUAAUGUUUGAUGUUCUAACGUGGACCCGUAAUCCGGGUUGCGGACAGUGUCUGGUGGGUAGUUUGACUGGGGCGGUCUCCUCCUAAAGAGUAACGGAGGAGCACGAAGGUUGGCUAAUCCUGGUCGGACAUCAGGAGGUUAGUGCAAUGGCAUAAGCCAGCUUGACUGCGAGCGUGACGGCGCGAGCAGGUGCGAAAGCAGGUCAUAGUGAUCCGGUGGUUCUGAAUGGAAGGGCCAUCGCUCAACGGAUAAAAGGUACUCCGGGGAUAACAGGCUGAUACCGCCCAAGAGUUCAUAUCGACGGCGGUGUUUGGCACCUCGAUGUCGGCUCAUCACAUCCUGGGGCUGAAGUAGGUCCCAAGGGUAUGGCUGUUCGCCAUUUAAAGUGGUACGCGAGCUGGGUUUAGAACGUCGUGAGACAGUUCGGUCCCUAUCUGCCGUGGGCGCUGGAGAACUGAGGGGGGCUGCUCCUAGUACGAGAGGACCGGAGUGGACGCAUCACUGGUGUUCGGGUUGUCAUGCCAAUGGCACUGCCCGGUAGCUAAAUGCGGAAGAGAUAAGUGCUGAAAGCAUCUAAGCACGAAACUUGCCCCGA